GGCCUUCGGGUUGUAAACUUCUUUGAUUGGGGGGGAAGGAAGUGACGGUACCCAAAGAACAAGCCCCGGCUAACUACGUGCCAGCAGCCGCGGUAAUACGUAGGUGGCGAGCGUUGUCCGGAAUUACUGGGUGUAAAGGGCGCGUAGGCGGGGAUGCAAGUCAGAUGUGAAAUUCCGGGGCUUAACCCCGGCGGUGCAUUUGAAACUGUAUCUCUUGAGUGCUGGAGAGGAAAGCGGAAUUCCUAGUGUAGCGGUGAAAUGCGUAGAUAUUAGGAGGAACACCAGUGGCGAAGGCGGCUUUCUGGACAGUAACUGACGCUGAGGCGCGAAAGCGUGGGGAGCAAACAGGAUUAGAUACCCUGGUAGUCCACGCCGUAAACGAUGGAUACUAGGUGUAG
RNAcentral lists this ribosomal RNA (398 nucleotides) under uncultured bacterium. RNAcentral's name for it is "bacterial SSU rRNA". It matches the Rfam family "Bacterial small subunit ribosomal RNA", at positions 413 to 825 of the family's 1533-position model. The record is from RNAcentral.